RNAcentral lists this ribosomal RNA (227 nucleotides) under uncultured bacterium. RNAcentral describes it as "partial 16S ribosomal RNA". It matches the Rfam family "Bacterial small subunit ribosomal RNA", at positions 109 to 334 of the family's 1533-position model. The record is from RNAcentral.
AGUAACGCGUGAGGAACCUGCCUCAAAGAGGGGGACAACAGUUGGAAACGACUGCUAAUACCGCAUAAGCCCACGGCUCGGCAUCGAGCAGAGGGAAAAGGAGCAAUCCGCUUUGAGAUGGCCUCGCGUCCGAUUAGCUAGUCGGUGAGGUAAUGGCCCACCAAGGCGACGAUCGGUAGCCGGACUGAGAGGUUGAACGGCCACAUUGGGACUGAGACACGGCCCAG